GACGAACGCUGGCGGCGUGCUAAUACAUGCAAGUAGAACGCUGAAGCUUGGUGCUUGCACCGAGCGGAUGAGUUGCGAACGGGUGAGUAACGCGUAGGUAACCUGCCUGGUAGCGGGGGAUAACUAUUGGAAACGAUAGCUAAUACCGCAUAAAAUGGAUUAUCGCAUGAUAAUUCAUUGAAAGGUGCAAAUGCAUCACUACCAGAUGGACCUGCGUUGUAUUAGCUAGUUGGUGGGGUAACGGCUCACCAAGGCGACGAUACAUAGCCGACCUGAGAGGGUGAUCGGCCACACUGGGACUGAGACACGGCCCAGACUCCUACGGGAGGCAGCAGUAGGGAAUCUUCGGCAAUGGACGGAAGUCUGCCGAGCAACGCCGCGUGAGUGAAUGAAGGUUUUCGGAUCGUAAAGCUCUGUUGUAAGAG
RNAcentral lists this ribosomal RNA (425 nucleotides) under Streptococcus sp. oral taxon 070. Its description in RNAcentral is "bacterial SSU rRNA". It matches the Rfam family "Bacterial small subunit ribosomal RNA", at positions 28 to 444 of the family's 1533-position model. Lineage: Bacteria; Bacillati; Bacillota; Bacilli; Lactobacillales; Streptococcaceae. The record is from RNAcentral.